This 253-nucleotide ribosomal RNA is filed under the name uncultured bacterium. RNAcentral describes it as "partial 16S ribosomal RNA". It matches the Rfam family "Bacterial small subunit ribosomal RNA", at positions 524 to 776 of the family's 1533-position model. The record is from RNAcentral.
UACGUAGGUUGCGAGCGUUAUCCGGAAUUAUUGGGCGUAAAGGGCGCGUAGGCGGCUUUGCAAGUGACGGGUGAAAUCCCUCGGCUUAACCGAGGAACUGCCUGUCAGACUGCAUGGCUUGAGACCGGGAGAGGUGAGUGGAAUUCCCAGUGUAGCGGUGAAAUGCGUAGAUAUUGGGAGGAACACCAGUGGCGAAGGCGGCUCACUGGACCGGUACUGACGCUGAGGCGCGAAAGCGUGGGGAGCAAACAGG